AUCCAGUUGACGAGUCCCAAAUAGGACGAAGCGCGCGUCCUGGAC
Schistosoma mattheei is the source of this 45-nucleotide non-coding RNA. The record is from Rfam. NCBI's taxonomy places the organism in Eukaryota, Metazoa, Platyhelminthes, Trematoda, Strigeidida, Schistosomatidae.